UUUGAAAUACAUUUCAAUUUUCCCUUUCAAAUAUUUAUCAGUUUAUUAUUAGUUUUGUAUUCCAAGGAUUUAUUGUUAUGAUUAGAAUUUUCGAAUUGAUGUGUGGAGUGUUAUUCAAGCAAGACAAGCGAGAACAGUAUUGGCGCCAAAAGUCAAAAAACGCAAGCGAUCAUCGACAGAUCAACAAAAACUGAACACAAAAAUUAGACUAAUAGAGGAAAAAGCAAUUUUAGCAGAUAAUGGCAGAGCAAAAUAGCGAAUAAAAAGUAAUGAAAUAGUUGGUAAUGAAAAAUGAAGGAGUCAAAUUUAAAUUGCAGUACAGCUAUAUAUAUAAAAAUUAAAAAGCAAAAUAAAGUGCAGUGAUAAAAUCAAUGUGGAUGAUAAAAAAUUAGAAAUGGUAAUGAUUUUGUUAAAUAAGCGAGCAGUUGCAGUGACAAUAUCUAAAUCCGUGUGCAGAGCAGUUAGCUGUGACAUUUAAAGUGGUUGAUGUGCGCACCGAGAGAAAAACACCGAAUUACAAAGAAUUGAAAAGGAAACAGAUAUUGUCAAAAAAAUCAGGGAGCAAAUGGAUAUGAAGAACUCGGCUAAAUCAGCACGCGGGAAAUUUUCACCUUCAAAAGUCGCUUAGUCCAAUUUUAAUAAAUAAAAGCUUCACAAACAAUUAACAGCUAUAACAAGUUUUUCAAUUACCGUUGCACACAAAGUAAAUAUUUUUAUAUACGGAUUAAAAACAUACACACCCAACAUUUAAAUACACACACAAACAUACAUAUGUACAUGGUUAGUGUGAUGUGUGACUGUUAGUUUAAUAAAAUUCAGGUGAACACCAAAUAGAAAAAUUUUAAAUUUUUAAAAUUGGGUGUGUUACACAUGUAAUAAUAAAAAUGAUAAGCUGCAAUAGAAAAUAAAAA
Molecule: long non-coding RNA, 911 nt
Organism: Anastrepha obliqua
Lineage: Eukaryota; Metazoa; Arthropoda; Insecta; Diptera; Tephritidae
Exons: 3
Source: RefSeq, a predicted model, not a curated record